This is a long non-coding RNA of Oncorhynchus nerka (sockeye salmon), 998 nucleotides long. RefSeq lists it as uncharacterized. The transcript has 2 exons. NCBI's taxonomy places the organism in Eukaryota, Metazoa, Chordata, Actinopteri, Salmoniformes, Salmonidae. The record is from RefSeq and is a predicted model, not a curated record.
GUGACCCAGUGGGUGAAUAAACUUGAUUUGAGCUUUACUAGUUGUCUGUGAGUUUUUAUUCUGUUCAUUUAGUGCCUGACAGUUCACUGCGAUUUAUAGUCGAACUGGAGGGUCAGAAUCAGUGGAGAAGCAGUCAGCACAAAAACCAAGGACCUGAGUCCUAAGACCAUGCCUAAGACUACCUGGCCAAAUUACUCCUUGCUGUCCCCGGUCAACCUGCUGCCCCUCUUUUCAACUGUUCUACCUAUGGAACCCUGACCUGUUCACCGGACGUGCUACCUUGUCCCAGACCGGCGGAUUUCGACUCUCUACCGCACCUGCUGUCUCUAACUCUGAAUGAUCGGCUAUGAAAAGCCAACUGACAUUUAUUCCUGAGGUGCUGACCUGUUGCACCCUCUACAACCACUGUUACGGAUACAGGUAUCCUGUAUCCUGUGUGUGUGUGUGUAUCCUGUGUUGUUUUCUCUCCUUCACCCCUCACAGGUGAAAAUCAUCACUCCCCAAUCAGUCAACAAUCAAUCAUCAAUCAGAAGACACACCUCCUCCUGUUUCCUACCCAAUCACAGUUCCUUUCCCUUGGUUUAAAAACCCCGUCAGUUGUUUGCUCUAGAGCUCAAUCUCUCUGUAAAUGCCAUGUCUGUAGGUCUCGCUGUUUCACUCUCUCUUUAUGUAUUGACCUCUCUUUUGUUUGAGCACCUCCAUAGCACUUGUUUUUGGUUAUGGUGUUUGUUUGUUUGCUGGUGGGAAAAGGGGGAACCAAGAAAAGUCGCCCAUGGGCAUACACUACCCGUAGGUAGACUUUGUUAAAUACACUAGUUAGAACUGGGCGGACCACCCACUGUAUUUUUGGUUAGUUAGUUAGCUGUUGUUAAAGUAGGCUAGUCUAGCUUAGGGGUGUUUUUGAAUACUUAUUGUUUCUUUCCUUGGGUCCAGCUCAGCCCCUUUUCCUGCUCCCCCCAUUACCGUAUGUUUUACAAUAAACCCUGAGUUUGACGGUA